Non-coding RNA from Ictidomys tridecemlineatus (thirteen-lined ground squirrel), 72 nucleotides. Lineage: Eukaryota; Metazoa; Chordata; Mammalia; Rodentia; Sciuridae. The record is from Rfam.
UGGGUUGUGGCUCAGUGGUAGAGCACUCGCCUAGCACAUGUGAGGCCCUGGGUUUGAACCUCAGCACCACAU